Molecule: ribosomal RNA, 513 nt
Filed under: uncultured bacterium
Lineage: Bacteria
Description: bacterial SSU rRNA
Rfam family: Bacterial small subunit ribosomal RNA
Source: RNAcentral
GACGAACGCUGGCGGCGUGGAUUAGGCAUGCAAGUCGAACGGUAUCAUCCUUUCGGGGGUGAGAGAGUGGCGAACUGGUGAGUAACACGUAGGUUAUCUACCCUCAAGACGGGGACAACCCAGGGAAACUUGGGCUAAUACCGGAUGUGAGCAACUUUUAGUUGUUUGAAAGGUGGCGUAAGCUGUCGCUUGGGGAUGAGCCUGCGUCCUAUUAGUUAGUUGGUGAGGUAACGGCUCACCUAGGCAAUGAUAGGUAGGCGGCCUUAACGGGUGGUCGCCCACACUGGGAUUGAGAUACGGCCCAGACUCCUACGGGAGGCAGCAGUCGAGAAUAGUCUACAAUGGUCGGAAGACUGAUAGUGCGACGCCGCGUGAACGAUGAAUCCCUUCGGGGUGUAAAGUUCUUUUAUAUGUUGAGCAGUGCUUUCUUAUAUUAACAGUAUGGGGAAGAGAUAUUAGCAUAUGAAUAAGCAACGGCUAACGUCCGUGCCAGCCAGCCGACGGUAAAUACCG